AGAGUUUGAUCCUGGCUCAGGAUGAACGCUAGCGGCAGGCUUAACACAUGCAAGUCGAGGGGCAGCGGGGAGAGUGCUUGCACUUUCCGCCGGCGACCGGCGCACGGGUGAGUAACACGUAUGCAACCUGCCCCUGUCAGGGGGACAACCUUCCGAAAGGGAGGCUAAUCCCGCGUAUAUCCUUCUGGGGCAUCCCGGGAGGAGGAAAGGCUUCGGCCGGACAGGGAUGGGCAUGCGGCGCAUUAGGCAGACGGCGGUGUAACGGACCACCGUACCGACGAUGCGUAGGGGUUCUGAGAGGAAGGUCCCCCACACUGGUACUGAGACACGGACCAGACUCCUACGGGAGGCAGCAGUGAGGAAUAUUGGUCAAUGGUCGGGAGACUGAACCAGCCAAGCCGCGUGAGGGAAGAAGGCGCUAAGCGUCGUAAACCUCUUUUGUCGGGGAACAAACGGAGGCACGUGUGCCUUUCUGAGUGUACCCGAAGAAAAAGCAUCGGCUAACUCCGUGCCAGCAGCCGCGGUAAUACGGAGGAUGCGAGCGUUAUCCGGAUUUAUUGGGUUUAAAGGGUGCGCAGGCGGGCUGUUAAGUCAGCGGUAAAAGCCCGGGGCUCAACCCCGGCGAGCCGUUGAAACUGGCGGUCUUGAGUUGGAGAGAAGUAUGCGGAAUGCGCAGUGUAGCGGUGAAAUGCUUAGAUAUUGCGCAGAACUCCGAUUGCGAGGGCAGCAUACCGGCUCCAUACUGACGCUCAGGCACGAAAGUGGGGGGGAUCGAAAAGGAUUAAAUACCCCUGGUAAGUCCCCCCAAUAAAACAAUGAAAUGGCGGGGGGGGUCCGGGAGGGGUUACCUUCUGGGG
This 857-nucleotide ribosomal RNA is filed under the name uncultured bacterium. RNAcentral's name for it is "bacterial SSU rRNA". It matches the Rfam family "Bacterial small subunit ribosomal RNA", at positions 8 to 851 of the family's 1533-position model. The record is from RNAcentral.